Salvia miltiorrhiza (redroot sage) is the source of this 2678-nucleotide RNA transcript. It is a transcript of the gene named probable alkaline/neutral invertase B, with no coding region annotated. The transcript has 5 exons. Lineage: Eukaryota; Viridiplantae; Streptophyta; Magnoliopsida; Lamiales; Lamiaceae. The record is from RefSeq and is a predicted model, not a curated record.
CCCCCAUUUUAUUUUCUGAUUAUUAAUGUUGGGACUCGAUUAAACUUAUGUGAAUGAGUUUUUCUGGAGUUGUUCGGUUGAAAUGCAAUAGCAAGAUUUGUGGAUUGGGUGAUAGUUUGAUCUUUACACCAAUUGAUUAGGAAUCUAUCUUUGAACAGAUAAGUCAAGAUGUCUCCAAUUGUUGAUGGUAAUGGAAAUGCCAAACAUAACGAAUCGAGUUCUUCGAUUUUUGAGAUUGGAGAGUCAGAUUUGUCCAGAUUGUUGGAGAAACCAAAGCCUGUAAACAUAGAAAGGAAGAGAUCUUUUGAUGAGAGAUCCAUUAGUGAGCUGUCGAUCUCAUCCCCGCCCCGCCAAUUUUACAAAAACAGUGAGAAUUCGUCGCGUGUCUUUGACAACUUCGGGAGCAUUCAUUCCCCAGGGAGGUCUGGCGUGAGCACUCCCAGAUCGUUCUAUUGUAUGGAGACGCAUCCAAUAGUGGCUGAGGCGUGGGAGGCCUUGCAGCGAUCCAUAGUCCACUUCCGCGAGCAGCCUGUGGGGACUUUAGCCGCUUUGGAUAAUUCAACUGAAGAGCUGAAUUAUGAUCAGGUGUUUGUGAGGGACUUUGUUCCUAGUGCUCUGGCCUUCUUGAUGAACGGUGAACCUGAAAUUGUCAAAAACUUUCUUUUGAAAACGUUGCGCCUCCAAUCAUGGGAGAAAAAGGUGGAUAAUUUCACUCUAGGGGCUGGGGUGAUGCCUGCGAGUUUUAAGGUACUUCAUGAUCCUGUAAGGAACAACGAGACGAUCAUUGCUGAUUUUGGCGAAUGUGCUAUUGGUAGAGUGGCUCCAGUUGAUUCAGGUUUUUGGUGGAUCAUUCUGCUACGAGCAUAUACAAAGUCUACAGGUGACAAUACUUUGGCUGAGAUGCCGGAAUUUCAGAGGGGCAUUAAAUUAAUUUUGGCAUUAUGCCUAUCUGAAGGCUAUGAUACUUUCCCAACUCUUUUGUGUGCUGAUGGUUGUAGUAUGAUUGAUCGUCGGAUGGGUGUUUAUGGUUAUCCGAUAGAGAUACAGGCAUUGUUCUUUAUGGCCUUGAGGUGUGCUUUACAUCUACUUAAAAAUGAUGAGGAAGGCAAAGACUUUUCUGAUAGAGUAGUUAAGCGCCUGCACGCGCUUAGCUAUCACAUGAGAAGCUACUUUUGGCUGGACAUCAAACAGCUCAACGACAUCUACCGUUACAAGACUGAAGAGUAUUCACACACUGCAGUGAAUAAGUUCAAUGUGAUGCCCGAUUCCCUCCCUGAUUGGGUGUUUGAUUUCAUGCCAACCCGUGGAGGUUAUUUCAUUGGGAAUGUAAGCCCUGCAAGGAUGGAUUUCCGUUGGUUCUGCUUGGGCAACUGCGUGGCGAUUUUGUCAUCUUUGGCAACUCCCGAGCAAGCUUCAGCUAUAAUGGAUCUCAUUGAAUCACGUUGGGACGAGCUGGUUGGGGAAAUGCCGCUGAAGAUAUGCUAUCCGUCCAUGGAAAACCAUGAAUGGAAAAUCGUAACAGGUUGCGAUCCAAAGAAUACUAGCUGGAGUUACCACAAUGGAGGCUCUUGGCCAGGUAACUUGCUGUCUCCUCCUCAAUAACAUUUACAUUUAUUUGUCAUCUUUCACAUGGCAAUAAGCUGUACCUUAACAUAUUACAUACUUGUCUUUUUUUUCCAUAGACUGAUCAUCUUUGGCAGGGCCUGCCCUAAGGGUGGGCGAGCCGCGAGUGUGAGCGACGGCCCAGAGCCCAAAAUAUUAGGCAACUGCCCAUAGUAUUAUAUACAAUUACAAGGGACCCUAGACCCGGUCCAAUCUAAUAUAGAUACAUAUAUAUGAUUUUGUUCAAAUAAGAACCUUUUUUUAAACAUAAAAUAGGAAUUAUUUUUGGACCUUAGAUUAUGAAGAUCUAUGUAGAUGCUAAAAAGAGUUAUGAAUUCAUCAUUUUUAAGCAUGUUAUAUCUGAUCAAAAUACCCUUCGUAAUCUUGUGGUCGUGGGUUCAAGCCCCAUGGUGGGCAGCAAUACAAUUAAUUUUGAAUUCACCAAUUUUCAAUUUUCACAACAAAUUCACCAUGAGAUAAUAGUUCGUAUUUUAUACUCUUAAGGUGGGGUUUGUAGUAUAUAUAUUUGAGUGUCACACAUUGUGCUUUAAUGAUGGUAGAUAAAAGGCCUGUUACAUGCCCUGAUCUUGGGUGAUAUAAUAUUGGUGGACACUAAGUUAGGACAUGAUGUUUUGUGCAGUCCUCAUAUGGCUCCUGACAGCAGCGUGCAUCAAGUCCGGACGCCCCCAACUAGCAAGGCGCGCCAUUGAGCUCGUGGAAUCGCGUUUAUCCAAGGAUCACUGGCCGGAGUACUAUGAUGGGAAGCUGGGGCGUUACAUGGGGAAGCAGGCGCGCAAGUACCAGACUUGGUCGAUUGCGGGUUAUUUGGUAGCGAAAAUGAUGCUUGAGGAUCCGUCUCAUUUAGGAAUGAUAUCACUCGAAGAAGACAAGCAGAUGAAACCUCAUAUCAAAAGAUCUGCCUCUUGGAUGUGUUGACAUUAUCAUAUUUCUAGUCAAAAUCCUCAAAUGGAACGCACUGCUAUGGACUUCACCUAUCUUUCUUUUUUUUGUUAUGGGAAGUUGUAAGAAAAUUCUGCAGAUUGAUGCAUAUUAUACCACAAUGUUUUUGUGUCUCA